GACGAACGCUGGCGGCGUGCCUAAUACAUGCAAGUAGAACGCUGAAGAGAGGAGCUUGCUCUUCUUGGAUGAGUUGCGAACGGGUGAGUAACGCGUAGGUAACCCGCCUUGUAGCGGGGGAUAACUAUUGGAAACGAUAGCUAAUACCGCAUAACAAUGGAUGACACAUGUCAUUUAUUUGAAAGGGGCAAUUGCUCCACUACAAGAUGGACCUGCGUUGUAUUAGCUAGUAGGUGAGGUAAUGGCUCACCUAGGCGACGAUACAUAGCCGACCUGAGAGGGUGAUCGGCCACACUGGGACUGAGACACGGCCCAGACUCCUACGGGAGGCAGCAGUAGGGAAUCUUCGGCAAUGGGGGCAACCCUGACCGAGCAACGCCGCGUGAGUGAAGAAGGUUGUCGGAUCGUAAAGCUCUGUUGUAAGUCAAGAACGGGUGUGAGAGUGGAAAGUUCACACUGUGACGGUAGCUUACCAGAAAGGGACGGCUAACUACGUG
This 497-nucleotide ribosomal RNA is filed under the name uncultured bacterium. RNAcentral's name for it is "partial 16S ribosomal RNA". It matches the Rfam family "Bacterial small subunit ribosomal RNA", at positions 28 to 507 of the family's 1533-position model. The record is from RNAcentral.